GAACAGUGAAUGAGGUUGUGUCAUGUGCGUGUGGGACUGCCUCCCCAGCCCUGUCUUAACAACUCUGAAUAACUCGAGAGGUCGGCGGGCUCAGUCAAGGCAGCUUUGUUUCUUUUUUCUUAACUGUAAGCCUUUGACAUGUACUGAGAAAAGCCCGUGCAUUAGACCCCGACUUAGUGGCUGCUCCCGGCAAGGCCCACCUUACACCACACAAGCCCAGGCGCUGAGACAACCAUACUUGGUUCUGAAUUGGCAAGAUGCCUGGAAUGCUGUCAACCUAGUCAUUGAUUUACCUAUUUUCAAAGAAAAGGAAAUUCCGUCCUCGCCAUCUCGAAUGUGCGCUGCUGCUUUGAUCUUGAAUGCUCACUUGACCAACUGAGAUCCCUUCCGGGAAUGCUUGAGUCUCGGCUAAGCAGCAGUGCCAGGUGCUCCAAGGGUUGGGCUGAGGGGGGCCAUUAAGGAGGAACAUCCACAUGCUUAAGCAACGCUGUCUGUGAGAACUCCCCCACUGUGCCCGGCCACGAUAGACGCAGCCAUCCCGACACUUGCUGCUGGACAAGAUGAACCAGGCCUCACCACAGCCAGAUCGAAGGUGGUAUGAGAACCACGAGAAGAUCCAGGAGGACCGCGCUCUACGCAGCAACCACUUCCUGGGCAAGAAUACCAUCUAUGGCGUGGAGCGAUGCAUGAGCCUGAUGCAGGCCGGCACCCAGAUGGUGAAGCUGAGAGGGAGCUCCAAAGGCCUGGUCCGCUUCUACUUCCUGGACGAACAUAAAACCUGCGUCAGGUGGCGGCCGUCCAGGAAAAACGAGAAAGCCAAAAUUUCAAUAGAUGCCAUUCGAGAGGUGUGUGAAGGGAAACAGUCUGAGAUUUUUCAGCGCUACCCGGAUGGAACCUUUGACCCCAACUGCUGCUUCAGUAUUUAUCAUGGUGACCACAUGGAGUCCCUGGACCUGAUUUCGUCAAACGGCGGCGAGGCUCGGACAUGGAUCACGGGCCUCAAGUACCUAAUGGCAGGAAUCAGCGAUGAAGACAGCCUGUCGAAGCGACAGAGGACACGGGACCAGUGGCUGAAGCAGACCUUCGCUGAGGCGGAUAAGAAUGGGGACGGCAGCCUGAGUGUGGGCGAGGUGCUGCAGCUGAUGCACAAACUCAAUGUCAAUCUGCCACGCCAGAAGGUCAAGCAGAUGUUCAAGGAGGCGGACACAGACGACAAUAAAGGGACACUGGACUUUGAGGAGUUCUGCUCGUUCUACAAGAUGAUGUCCACGAGGCGAGACCUCUACCUCCUGAUGCUGAUGUACAGCAACCACAAGGACCAGAUGGACACUGACGACCUGAAGAGGUUUCUGGAGGUGGAGCAGAAGAUGAGCUGCGUGAUGAAGGAACGUUGCCUGGAGAUCAUUGACAAAUUUGAGCCGUGCCUGGAGAACCAGAAGCGUGGUGUGAUUGGGAUCGAUGGUUUCACCAACUACAUGCGGAGCCCAGCCGGGGAUAUCUUCAACCCCGAACAUUACAAUGUGAUCCAGGACAUGACACAGCCCCUCUGCAACUAUUACAUUGCCUCGUCCCACAACACCUAUCUGAUGGGGGACCAGCUGAUGUCGCAGUCACGGGUGGAUAUGUACGCAUGGGUGCUCCAGGCUGGCUGCCGCUGUGUGGAAGUUGACUGCUGGGAUGGACCAGACGGAGAACCCAUUGUUCACCACGGCUACACGCUCACCUCCAAAAUCCUCUUCCGAGAUGCGAUUGAAACCAUCAAUAAAUAUGCUUUUGCAAAGUCAGAAUAUCCAAUCAUCCUGUCGGUGGAGAACCACUGCAGCGUGCCGCAGCAGAAGAAGAUGGCUCAGUACCUGUGCGAGAUCUUCGGGGACAAACUUGAUGUAUCCUCCGUGCAUGUGGACAAUGUGACCCAGCUGCCUUCCCCUGAGAGCUUGAAAGGAAAGAUUCUCGUGAAGGGCAAGAAACUAUCUGCAAACAUCAGUGAAGAUGCGGAGGAGGGCGAGGUGUCGGACGAGGAUAGUGCGGAUGAAAUCGAAGACGAUUGCAAGUUGAUGAACGGAGAUGCCACGGCCAACCGGAAACAGGUGGAGAGCGUGGCGAAAAAGAAGCUCGACUCGCUGCUGAAGGAAUCGAAAAUCCGAGACCGGGAAGAUCCCGACAGCUUCACGGUCAACGCCAUCCCUCAGACGGGCAAAGUGUGUCAGAAGUCGGACACAAAGAAGCAGCAGAAGCGGAGCUCCAGCGCUGUGCCCACAGUCGAGAAGUCAACGAGUAAAGCCGACGACGGCACAGACUCUGGAGAAGAUCCAGUGACCAACAAGAGACACAGUCGCUCCUUCAUCGGCAGCUUCUCCAAGCGCAAGAAGAAAGCUGUGAAGAUCAAGAAGUCAUCGAGCUUGGAGGAUGAUGAAGAUGAUCAUGAGCAUCAAACCACUGCCGGCCGGAGUGUGGUCCACUCAGCAAGGUGCGGUCGACAGAAGAAGACCAUGAAGCUGUCCCGGGCUCUCUCUGACCUGGUUAAGUACACAAAGUCUGUCGGCAUGUCCGAUAUCGACUCUGAAGUCGUGUGCAGUUGGCAGGUCUCUUCGUUCAGUGAAGCAAAGACCCACCAGCUCCUGCAGCAGAAACCCCAGCAGUUCCUGCGGGUGAACCAGCAGCAGCUCUCCCGUAUCUACCCCUCCUCCUACAGGGUGGACUCCAGCAACUUCAACCCCCAACCCUUCUGGAACGCAGGCUGCCAGCUCGUUGCAUUGAACUACCAGUCUGAAGGAAGAGUGCUGCAACUUAAUCGAGCCAAGUUUAACUCCAAUGGGAGCUGUGGCUAUGUUCUCAAACCCAAGUGCAUGACUCGUGCAGGUAACUUUAACUCAUCCGCGGACGACCUGCUGUCGGGACUGACAAAGAAACAACUGGUUCUGAGGAUCAUCAGCGGCCAACAGCUGCCGAAACCCAAAGAUUCCAUGCUGGGCGACAGGGGAGAGAUAAUCGACCCAUUUGUGGAGGUGGAGGUCAUCGGUCUGGCUGUCGACUGCACCAAGGAGCAGACCAGAGUGGUGGAUGACAAUGGGUUUAACCCGAUGUGGGAGGAGACCCUCGUGUUCACCCUGCACAUGCCCGAGAUCGCCCUGGUCCGCUUCUUGGUGUGGGACCACGAUCCCAUCGGUCGAGACUUCAUCGGUCAACGAACUCUGGCCUUCACCAGCAUGAUGCCUGGUUAUCGGCACGUGUACCUGGAGGGGAUGGAGGAGGCCUCCAUCUUUGUUCAUGUGGCCGUCAAUGACAUCAGUGGUAAGAUCAAGCAAGUCAUGGGAUUAAAGGGGCUUUUCCACAGAAAUCCAAAGCAGUCUUCGCUGGACAGUCAUGUUGCUGUAAUGCUCACCCGCAAACACUCUUUUAGUAGUCACAUCCUGCGCCGGACAGCGAGCGCUCCCACCAAAGGGCAGCAGAAGGGCAAGAAGGGCUUCCCGCACAUUGUUCUAGACACCAAGGAUUGCAGCUCGGAGGGAGCAAGUGAGUCUGACGACACCUCGCAGCCCCGCUUCGAGCAGGAGGCAGAAGGCGUGGAGGCAGCUCCAGAAGGUGGUGACAGGGCCGGCCCCCAUAGGGAGGUGCCGACGGAGGCCGUCAAAGGUAAGGGGUCAGGCCGGGGGUCGGGGGAAGGUCAGAAGCAACGUGUGACUAAUGUGCCAGCGGGUGUGGUGUUUAGCGAGCCCUUAAGGCGGGCAAACCGAGUGCGCAUUGUGGAGCCCGAGGAGCAGAGGCAAGGAGUGUUCACCAGGUGUGCCAUAAAUGGCUGCGGUAGGAUUGGCGUGGCCACCAGUUGCAUGAAAUGCGUCAUUGGUUCCCGGGAGAGCCCUGACCUAGAACGCAAGUGGAGAGAUCACCUGCACAAGCCGGCCUCCCUGGCGGCGCCAAAGCGGGUACGUCAGUGUGCCUCCUCUGAGGGCGAGUGGCUGAUUUCCUCUGGGCAGGCCGUCCAGUGCCAACCCCAGCAGAGGUGGCGACGCCAGGUUGCUCGCAGUGUCGGCUGCAGCGGCGGAGAAGUCCAGCGGUCGAAGGUCACCACCAAGGGCUGUGACUCGCCCGGGUCUGCACGCCCGGAGGGUGUGGGUGAUCUGGAGCACUCUCACCACUUGGCACGGGACCCAGCAAAGUGUCCAGGCACCCUGCAACGCGAAAUGAACUCUUUGUUUGUACAAAAGAUGGAGGAAAUCCGAAGCAAGUCUCCAAUCUUUUCCACGGGUAAGACCUGAAUGGACCAUUUUGUUGACCUGUCUUUUGCUUUGUAGAUCGACUUGUUCCUCUGGCUAGCAACUCCUUGCCCAGCCAAAGCCUGAACCCACUGCCCAACACUGAACACCUUGCCUAGUGUAGAUCCCCCAUCUCCUUCACUUUGAGCAAAUUGUCACAAGGAGGAUAUGGGACUGUUUGCUCUCUAGUUUCUCAUUCCCUGCCCACCUAAUGUUUCAAAGCUCAUUUCUUUCUCCCUCUAAGACGUCGAAAUGGUUCAUAGCAGCAAAUGCAUGAGUUCAGAAGGAUGAGGGAGGGUCUCAUUGAAACUUACCAAAUAGUGAAAGGCCUGGAUAGAGUGGAUGUGGAGAGGAUGUUUCAACCAGUGGGAGAGUCAAGGACCAGAGGGCAUAGCAUCGCAAUAAAAGGACGUACCUUUAGAAAGGAGAUGAGGAGGAAGUUCUUUAGUCAGAAGGUGUAAAUCUGUGGAAUUCAUUGCCACAGACAGCUGUGGGGGCCAAGUCAUUGGGUAUUGUGCAAGGAGAGAUUGACAGGGUCUUGAUUAGCAAGGGGCUCAAAGAUUAUGGGGAGAAGGCAGGAGAAUAGGUUGAGGAGGAAAAAUGGAUCAGCCAUGAUUGAUUGAUUGAUGAAGAAGACUUGAUGGGCCAAAUGGCCUGAUUCUGCUCAUAUGACUUACCUGCAGUUGGGUUUGAGGGCUUAACAUACCUCACGGUUUGAGUGAGUGGAGAUUGAAAUAAUUUCCGUAAAACUGACCUGGGUACCAGCACAUUUAGCAAUGGCAAACCAACCACUCUGAACUAGUAACGGCAAACCAACUGCUCCCAGUGAGAGAUGGCAAAGCAACCAUUACCAGCUAGUAAUGGUAAGCCAACCGCUCCCAACUAGUGAUGACAAACCAACCGCUCCCAACUAGUGAUGCCAAACCAACCGCUCCCAACUAGUAUUGGCAAACUGACCAUUACCAACUAGCAAUGAAAUGCCAAACACCACCAACUAAUGGCAAACCAAUCACUCCCAACAGAUUCCCAUAUGACAAGAAGGAAGUAUUUACAUUUUAAGGCCGGGUUUAACACUUGCUUCAGUUUCCCAAUGUUCGCCCACUGUUAUGCACAGAUCAGUAAUGGGUCAAUCUCCACAUCCAACUGUGAGAGGGGAGGGGGUGGUGUAAAGCGGGGGAUUCUAAUUCUCAGGCCACAUUGUCACGUAUCCCCCUCACCCCUGACAAAGCCUUCCUCUGUCAGUGUGGGACAGAGACCCUCAGACUAAAGGAACUAGAGUAGCUGCAAGUGCUGGCCUGAGGGGAGGGGUGACCACAGUGGUGCCUCGCCCUGCCCCUUGCACGCUCCAGAGACACAUCUACUCCGUCUGACCCACAGGAAGUCUCAGCUUGGCAUCCUCUGCGCACAAUGUGCCUGUAACUGGCUUCCUGCAGCAGGACACGGCUUGGCAAGUCUCUGUCAGCCAAGCAUAAAUACACAAGCAAGUUCCCCAUCAUGUCACCACACGGGCCACAGCUUUAUUAUGUAACUGGCCCAGCACUCUCACAGGAGAUGACCAUCCCAAAAUGGCCAGUUAAAAAUCCGAAGAGCCGUGAGCUAUUCUGACCUCGACAGAGUUAAAAUGAUGUUGAACAUCUGCAAUGGACCCAUGGAGGGUGAAUCGGAACAAAAUAGGAGAAGCUUUAACGUGGCUCUGAAAUGGGGGGUAACCAGGAGAUGGUGGUGGUGGAGACGGAGCUAAGGUUUGACGCCCGAUCAACAUUGCAGCCAGGUCAGGUGGGAUGUAGAAGCAAAGUAGUUUCCCAGCCAACAGGUUGAGUUACAGAUGCCUUUACCGUCCCACCUGUCACCACGGGAAGAACACGUGGCAAUCUGAUCUGUCAGCGACUGCCUCCUUAGAUUAGCGUGUGACAUGUCUGCCUUCCCCUGUGUCUCUCCUCUCUCUUCUCUCUCACUGAGUUUAACUGUUUGCAAUGUUCUGCCCUUGCUGCCACACGCAGUGGACAACUGAUCUGGAGAGCAACACCAAGGCGCCCAGCCAUUCUCACAUCCACUUCCAAGCGUUCCC
RNA transcript from Leucoraja erinaceus (little skate), 6321 nucleotides. It is a transcript of the gene named phospholipase C, eta 2a, with no coding region annotated. The record is from RefSeq and is a predicted model, not a curated record. The transcript is spliced from 24 exons. Lineage: Eukaryota; Metazoa; Chordata; Chondrichthyes; Rajiformes; Rajidae.